UAAGUGGCGUUUUAAAAAUGAAGUAAAAAUACCACUUGCCGACCACUUUAAUCUAUGCAAGCUUCUGUAUUGUCCUUUGGAGACUAGUAGCUGACGCAUUUCCCAAAUAUUCACAUUUUGCAUUUUUAUUAAUGGAGCGAGAUAAAAAUGCUCUUGAGGACAGUUGGGCAUUGUAGGAAAUGCUAAGAAUGUGACAGGUUUUCUGCACUGAGCACACAAGGGCCACACUAAUGUCAGAAAGUUUAAAUAUAUUGUAUUGCAAAUGAAAUUAAGUAUGAUAAAUCUUUACCUUUAGACUUUUCAUCUCAAUUCCCGUUCUUAUGCUGUGUUCCAGCAGCGCUGUGGCUCCUUUUUCUAUUUGGCCUGAGUUCCUUCCCUUCCAGCAGUCUUUGAAUGACAGCGUUCCCUCUGCGUUAAAGGCGGUCUUAGUUAUGUGAGUCCCAAUCCACAAGUAGUCAGAAUGCCACCGGCCUUGCACACAGGAAGAGGUACAGUCGUACAUUGCAUCCCUGAUGCCUUGCGAGUCUAACGUUUUGGCUCCUGAACACCGCAAACCCAGAAGUGAGUGUUCCAGUUUGCGAACGUUCUUUGUAACCCAAACGUCCGACACGGCUUCCACGACUUCCGAUUGGCUGCAGGAAUCCAUUCCGGAAGUCCAUUCAACUUCUGAAAAUGUUGAAAACCAAGGUGAUUCCUGCAGCCAACCGGAAGCCACACCUUGGUUUUCAAACAUUUCCGGAAGUUGAAUGGACUUCUGGAACGGUUUCUGUUUGAGAACCAAAGUACAACUGUAUGUUAGCAGACUCAAGGAGCUCCAAGGUUUGCAGAAGUGCAAAUGAAGGUUAGGAAACAGACUUGCAGGACCUCCCCCCCCGCCCCCCCUAAAAAAAGAAUGAGGAGCAAGCAUGUAUCUUAACCAUGAAAUGCUGACUGCUUAGACUGAAAACGAGAAGCAAGGAGGGGGAAUGGAAUGGAGGAUCUGAAAUUCUGAACAGCGACACUCCAUGCUGUAGCAUUUUGUUGUGGCACCCAUCUGUUGUUUUUCUAUCACCUUUAGAUUGCUAUCCUUAUAUCACUUCCCACAGCCUUGGUCACUGUUGCCUUUUACCAAUAAUUUUAAAGUCUUUGUCCUGAUAGAUACUCUUUUGCAGAUAACAUUUUUGCUUACAAUGCAUCUGACUGGUACUUUUUUUUUUGCACAACUAGUAUACAUUGCGAGGUUUUCUAUUUCAUCCCCACCCAAAGAUUUCUCCCAGUUAUACAAUUUGUAUUUGUAAAGGUUUUCUUUUUCUGAGUGACCUUGAACUUAAAAGGGCAUUGGUACACUGGUGCUUGAUUUAUUUAUUUGCAUAAAGAAUUCAUAUACAGUGGACCCUCUGGAUACAAAUUAAAUUCUUUCCUGGGGUCCGUACUUAUCCCUGAAAAGUCUGUAACUGGAGGUGCCGCUUCUGCGCACGCGUACGGCGAAACCCAAAGUAUACACUUCCGGGUUUGCUGCGUUCGCAACCCGAAAGUUACAUAUCCAGAGUGGUACGUAACUCGAGGGUCCACUGUACUGCCUUUCAAUAUAAGAAUCUCCAGGGUGGCUUCCGAACGAAACAGUGAAAUUGUGCUUCAGGAGAACAGGGCAGCAGAGAAAAUGAGCACAGUAAAAAUGGAAAGGAUUCCCUUGCCCUGCCACUCAGAAAGCCAUCUGCUGGUGCCAGAAAAACAUCCGAAUAGGCAAAAGACGAACUUGUCUAGGGAGAGCACUAUAUCUGAGAAGGUCCUUACCUCAUUGCCAUCCUAGAUCUGGCCUGAAUCUCUCUCUCUCCCACACACAAGAGAAAAGGAUCAUUUGUCCUUUCUGAAAAUGGGGAGGCUGUGCAGAGACCGUGUGUGUGUGAACUGUAUGCACUUUCAGUGUGUGGCUUACCACAGGAGGCUGCCUUAUAAUGAGCCAGACCAUUGGAUGUUUAUUCCGCUAAAUCUACCUGCUGCACCUUCUUGUUUCUGCAUUUUUUAUGGCUCGUAGUUCAUGUGCCUACUGAGGACUAGGCACAGGUAGGGCUACUGGAUUAAUAUUAUUAUUAAACAGAAUGAAUAAAAGCUAUGCUGGCCAUUGAAGGCGGGUGUUGUUUAAUGGUGCACUUACUUUGGACAUAAUAGCACUUGGCCAAGGUUGCUGGUAGCAUAUGUUUGACUGUAAGGCCUUCCUCUGCAUUUCCCAACCCAGUUUGUGUUGCACGCAAAGAGGAAGAAACAAUUCUCAUAUCAUUCUUAGUUUCAUUUUUUUUUUAACUGAAAAGCAGAGUGGAGGAUUUGUUGUUGUUGUUGUUGUUCCAUCCUGCUUUUGUAUACAGUGGUACCUCGGGUUAAGAAUUUAAUUCGUUCCAGAGGUCCGUUCUUAACCUGAAACUGUUCUUAACCUGAAGCACCACUUUAGCUAAUGGGGCCUCUCGUUGCUGCUGCGUGAUUUCUGUUCUCAUCCUGAAGCAAAGUUCUUAACCUGAGAUACUAUUUCUGGGGUAUCAGAGUCUGUAACCUGAAGCGUCUGUAACCUGAAGCGUAUGUAACCCGAGGUACCACUGUAUUUUGGAGGAAAUACAUUCAGACUUGGUUAUUUCAGCCCAUAGAGUGUUGUUUUCCAUAGACAUUUCUUCUUGCAAAAUUAAUUUCUUCCUUUAGCCUCCCCGUGAUGCCAGAGAAAUGCCACAACAUUUUAUUUAUCCCUAUAAGAUAGACCUCACUGGUAAUCCCAGAAUGAGCAGAGAUGACUUUUUUUCCUGUAAGUGUGGUGGGAUGCCAUUUCAUUUCAGCCAACCGCUGCAGACUCCAGCUAUUUCUCAGAUUCUGCCUCUCUCCCUGCCCCCCUCUUUUUUGGGGGGUGAAAAGCAUGAUUGAUAUUAAUCUUUUAUUUUCCUUUAUAAAAAAUUAUUUCCCCCCCUGAACUCCAUACUGGUAAUAUAUUAUUCAGCCUUUCUUUAAUAACAGCUUUGGGUUGUUCCAUUAGUCACUACAGUUAUUACAACGCUAAAGGCCUAAUUCAUCAGCAUUUGACUUCCACAGGCAGAGUGUAAUGCUUGUCUGAUUCCCCCCAUGCAUCAGGGCUGUCGUUCUGGGUUAUGUGGGAAGCAGCUGCCAUUUUGGCAGGAAUGUAAGGUGCUUGAAGCAAGCAUGCCACUCUGUGACAGUGUGAGGCAAACAAUAGCAUGUCAAGUGCCUUGUCUAAAGACAAGCCUAUUGAAAGAUGCAUAAAUGGAAGUCUGGUUAGCUAUUCCAUCAUUUUCAAGACUAUCCAAGCCAUCCAGGGCAAUUAACAAAUUUAUAACAACCUCAUGAAGGCCAUACGCUCCAAUCGUCCCUAUUUGCCCAGGACAUUUCCAGAAUUACAGAUCCCAGGAUAUCCCAGGGAUUAUCUGGCAUCGGUGUGGGAAUGUCCAGGGUGGCAGGAGAGGAUAUAUUGUUUAUUAUCAUUGCUAGCUUGCGCUAGUAAGUUUCUUUACUUAGCAGAGUUACAUUCCCCUUUUUACAUGCACAGCAGAUAGCUGGUUGCAGGCUCGUGUGAGCCUCUCACUAUUAUACAAUUCAGUCUGUCUCAGAUUGAAUUGUACGUUCCUGGUAAGUUCCCUUGAAUCCCUCUUAAAAGAAUAAUGACACCACAAUCUUAUUCAAAGUCAAUAAAAGAAGUUUACUGUAGAUUCUGGCGUAUUAGGCGACUGGGCGUAUUAGACGACCCCCCAAAUUGGCAGCUACUCGGAAGCAGCAGCAGUGGGUGGGCUCCGCUCCACGCCGCCCAUACCUGGCAUAUAAGACGACCCUCGCCUUUUUAACCUCUUUUCCGGGGUUAAAAAGUCAUCUUAUACGCUGGAAUCUACGGUACUUACAUCAGUUCACAGUUGGAUUCCUGAAGGCAGACUUAGUUACAAAAAUGUACAUGUGGAUCUACCCCAUAUGGGGGAAUAAUCCCAGUGCUUCUGCUGGCUGAGAGCUAGCAGAGCAGUCCUAGCUAAAAGCUGGUCAAACGAAGAAGGAAGUCAAAAAGAGAGAAGGGUGCUGUGUGACUCGUCCUUUUGUUACCUGGACAGGUUAAAUCACGCCCAUCUUCUAUCACAUGCGAAGGGAAGGAUGCUCCAGCCAGGAGGAACAGGAAGUUUCGACUGGCUGGACCAAAUGUUCCCUCGCAUGUCUUCUCUAGCAUUACAAGGAAUGUUGUACUUGAUUCCCUCUCAUGGAUCACAUCCCACAGUUGGCACUUGCAGAGAGUGCGGCACCAAAAGACCCACAUCCCGAUUUUCAUCAGCGUGAUGUUGGAGGGUGUGGAAGGCAAGUUGUGCAGCCAUUCAUAGGGAGACAGAAAGCUACUCAAUUUAUUUAUUUGACUUCUCUUAGUGCAGGACCCAAGGCAGCUCACAUCAUAUUGUUGUAGAGUGCUUCAACAUAUUUCUGCAUUGCAGCAGAAUAUACAUUUUU
Molecule: non-coding RNA, 4452 nt
Organism: Podarcis lilfordi (Lilford's wall lizard)
Lineage: Eukaryota; Metazoa; Chordata; Lepidosauria; Squamata; Lacertidae
Source: the annotation of a GenBank genome assembly